This 439-nucleotide unclassified non-coding RNA is filed under the name Hevea brasiliensis (rubber tree). Lineage: Eukaryota; Viridiplantae; Streptophyta; Magnoliopsida; Malpighiales; Euphorbiaceae. The record is from RNAcentral.
GGAAGGAAGGGGAUAAGGGGUAUGUACAUUAUUGAUGGACCUAUACAUUUGAGUUGAAAUCUGUGUGUUGCUCUACUAUUUACAACUAACACUAGGAUGGAAAAUUUCAUAGGAGUAAUAGUUGGCAAGGACAUCCUAUUCUAUUUAAUCUGAACACUGGAAUUGGUCGGAUAAAUAAUAGAACAAGAAGAAAAUUUUUUUUCCCUGCCUGCUUUGGGUAAUUAGAUGGAGAGUGUUAACCAUCAACUUGCUAGUUUAAUAUAGAAAAACUGUUGAAUGAUUUUCAAAGGAUUGCAAUCAGAGGCUCUUUGGAACGUUGAUUGAAAUGUGCUAUUUUGAAGAACCAUUAUUGAUGUUUAUGGAAGUGAAGGAAAUAGCAAACUGAUAUUGAUAUUGAUGUGGCAUCCUAUGACCCAGAUAAAUAAUUCUUGUUGAAUCC